Molecule: long non-coding RNA, 819 nt
Filed under: Mus musculus (house mouse)
Lineage: Eukaryota; Metazoa; Chordata; Mammalia; Rodentia; Muridae
Description: predicted gene, 36199
Source: RNAcentral
UUUACUUAUUUGGGGGGGUGGGGGGGGUGGUAGGACAAGGUCUUAGAGAGCUCAGGCUGGUUUCAGAUGCCAGGUAGCUGGGAGUCUGGGCCUGUUCUGUUUGUUUAGCUACAGAAUCCAUUCUGUAGUUCUGGGUGGCCUUAAAUUUAGCAAUCAUCUCAUCUCGUCUCUUUCUCUAGAGUACUGGAGUUAGAGACAUGGCUAACACAUUUAGCUUUUUCCCCCAGUAUUAACUUUUUUAGCUGGGAGUGGUGGCGCCUUUAAUCCCAGUACUGAGGAGGCAGAAGCAGGGAGACCUCAGUUCUAGGUCAGUCGAUUUACAGAGUGAGUUCCAUGGCAGCCAGGGCUACAUCAUGAGAUUCUCCCUUGAAAAAAAUAGAGGUUAUUUUUAAAAAUCUGUGCAUCAGGGGCUGGGUGUGGUGGCGCAUGCCUUUAAUCCCAGCACUGGGGAGGCAGAGUCAUUCCUUUUUUUUUUGUCGAGAUGCACAUUUAGAAGAUGAUACUGGGAGUUCAAAACUACUCUAAGCCAUCAUGAGUCUAAAGCCAGAAAGAGGCUGCCUGAGACCUGCUACCUGGUGUCAUCUUCUUACUUCCUACAAUUUAUUAUUAGCGCAAUUUUUGUUUGAUUUGGAGUUUUGAGACUGGAUCUUAAGUAUGUAGCCCCAGGUGACCUUGAGUUUGUGGUCCUUCUUCUCUAGGGCACGUAUUUUGCUGGGCCAGGAUUUCAUGGUGGGUUCCAGCUCUACCCUUUACUGGUGAGACAAUAUGUCAAACCAUAGGAAGGAUGGCCUAGCAUCACAGGUUCCACGCAUAGUGUGU